RNAcentral lists this ribosomal RNA (1056 nucleotides) under Eimeria sp. RNAcentral describes it as "SSU rRNA". It matches the Rfam family "Eukaryotic small subunit ribosomal RNA", at positions 140 to 1201 of the family's 1831-position model. The record is from RNAcentral. Lineage: Eukaryota; Apicomplexa; Conoidasida; Eucoccidiorida; Eimeriidae.
UGGAUAACCAUGGUAAUUCUAUGGCUAAUACAUGCGCACUCGCCUCCUUCUCUGGAGGGGCUGUGUUUAUUAGAUACAAAACCAACCCACUUUGUGGAGUCCUGGUGAUUCAUAGUAACCGAACGGAUCGCAGUUGGCUUCGGCCCGCGAUGGAUCUUUCAAGUUUCUGACCUAUCAGCUUUCGACGGUAGGGUAUUGGCCUACCGUGGCAGUGACGGGUAACGGGGAAUUAGGGUUCGAUUCCGGAGAGGGAGCCUGAGAAACGGCUACCACAUCUAAGGAAGGCAGCAGGCGCGCAAAUUACCCAAUGAAAACAGUUUCGAGGUAGUGACGAGAAAUAACAAUACAGGGCAUUUUAUGCUCUGUAAUUGGAAUGAUGGGAAUGUAAAACCCUUCCAGAGUAACAAUUGGAGGGCAAGUCUGGUGCCAGCAGCCGCGGUAAUUCCAGCUCCAAUAGUGUAUAUUAGAGUUGUUGCAGUUAAAAAGCUCGUAGUUGGAUUUCUGUCGUGGUCAUCCGGCUCCGCCCGUAUGGGUGUGCGCCUGGUUUGCCCUCGGCUUUCUUCCGGUAGCCUUCCGCGCUUCACUGCGUGUGUUGGUGUUCCGGAACUUUUACUUUGAGAAAAAUAGAGUGUUUCAAGCAGGCUUGUCGCCCUGAAUACUUCAGCAUGGAAUAAUAAGAUAGGACCUUGGUUCUAUUUUGUUGGUUUCUAGGACCUAGGUAAUGAUUAAUAGGGACAGUUGGGGGCAUUCGUAUUUAACUGUCAGAGGUGAAAUUCUUAGAUUUGUUAAAGACGAACUACUGCGAAAGCAUUUGCCAAGGAUGUUUUCAUUAAUCAAGAACGACAGUAGGGGGUUUGAAGACGAUUAGAUACCGUCGUAAUCUCUACCAUAAACUAUGCCGACUAGAGAUAGGGAAAUGCCUACCUUGGCUUCUCCUGCACCUCAUGAGAAAUCAAAGUCUCUGGGUUCUGGGGGGAGUAUGGUCGCAAGGCUGAAACUUAAAGGAAUUGACGGAAGGGCACCACCAGGCGUGGAGCCUGCGGCUUAAUUUGACUC